GGAAGGCCAACAUGAGGUCCCCCCAGGACCCUCUCCCCUUCAAGAUCUUAAAAAAAAAAGAAACUACAUAUAGUCCUCAGUAGCCUGCUCUGGUGUCCCUGCUUGAGCAGAGAGUCAGAUCUGAGGUCCCUUCCAACCUCAGCCAUUCUGUGAAACUAAAGGAGUUAGAGCACAAAUGAAUCUGACCCUGAAUAUCUAUUAAGCGUUGAUGAAAGCAGAGAGGAAUACAAUUUUAGCAUAAGUAAUGUGGUUUUCUAAUCUAGUAAAAAAAAAAAAGGCACUCUGUGCCUUUAUCACACUUCCAGACCCUUGGUUCCUUUGUUUUCCUCAUUUAUUUACAAAUGCAGUUCUGAUAAUUUAAAAAGUGAAACUGUGUGGUUUGUGGUUUCACUUAUUGUGUUUAGUUUUUUGUUUUGUUUUGUUUUUUUCAAAAACCUUUUACUAACUUUAAUUGACUCAAAUCCAUACGAUACUGUCACCAAGAUAUUUUCUAUAUAAAUACUUCUUCUUAUAAGAUCUUCCUGGGUUGAAAGACUUAGCUGCUUUGCUAGAAUUAAGGGAAUGUGUAAGAUAAGUAUUUUAAUCAAGAAAGAGAAGGAAGGAAAUUCUUUGAUCCCUUUUUUUCCAGUUUCAAAAAUCAAGCGUUUGGAAUACCAACUGUUGGAAGCAUAGAGAUAAACAAGUGUUUUUUGCAACUGUGGCAAGACAAGGAAAUACAUCCAAACUGAUGGGAAUAGGUUCUGUGUGAUAGUAAUAUCCAUGAGAAGGACCAAAAAAAUUAUUAUUGUAAUGUUUUUCUUCAUUUAUUCUACCAAGAUAGUAAAUUGUGUUAGGGGUCUUCAGCCUUAGCUGUAAGCAGUUUACGACACAUGAAACAAGAUCACCCCAAUUGCUUACAAGGAAUGUUCAAGAAGUUUCAAUGCAUCUGAGGAAUUUUAAGUGUUGUUAACCACAACUAACUGGCUGAAGUAUGAAAAUUGCUGAAGGGCAUUUUCUAUCACACUUUGGGCAGCUGCACAUGAAAUUGAUGGAAAAUUACCUUUCCAAGUUUAAGCUACAUCUAAGCUACAUCCGGCAAGUUGAUCAAGAUUCAAUCUACACCAAACCUUUAUCAACAAAAAUAAUAAUCAGAACAGUUGCUGUCUGGAAAACAAAAAAUGUCCUGUCUGUACGUCAUCCUAUUCUGCUGUAGCUAUUCACUGAUAUAUGCAGUGCUGAAUUCUUUGGGUGUAAAAGUAGGUACUGUGUUCACACAGAACAUCUGUCUUUAUCUCACUGGCUCAUGACAUAUCAUGAGCAUCUGUCUUAUGGAUAUUGCAGCUUCAUUGUUAGCUCCUCUCAUCCAAUCUUUUAUUUUGGGUAAUGAUGGGUUUUGCGAAUGCAAACCAUUUGCCACUGACUUUGUUUUUUUAUUAGGAGUGACUUAUGUUUCCAGUCCAUCCCUUAAAUUUUAGGACAACACAACAUUUAUCAUAGUGACAAAAUGAUUUAAAUCACUGUUGACACUGCCACUUUGGCAUCAUUAUAAAUACCUUGGUUCCACAGGAUUCAGGCUGUGUGAUGAACUCCAAUAAAUUUCUUCCUUAAUAUUGUCAGAGCUUGAAAUGAAAAUGUGUGCAAUAAGGAAAAGACAGAAUUGUUAAGGUGUCAUACUUAUCGCUUUGAAAUAAAUGGUGAGUUUUUUUAA
This is a long non-coding RNA of Gallus gallus (chicken), 1687 nucleotides long. The record is from Ensembl. Lineage: Eukaryota; Metazoa; Chordata; Aves; Galliformes; Phasianidae.